CAUGCAGGCGGUCAGGCGCGUUUUGUGUGACAGCGGGUGGCUUCACUACCCGAGCAUGCGAAAGACGGCGUGACUUGAGGGCUCGAGAGGGACACGGAAUUCCGGGUGGAGUGGUGAAAUGCGUAGAGAUCCGGAGGAACACCGAAGGCGAAGGCAGUGUCCUGGCGAGUGACUGACGCUGAGGUGCGAAAGCCAGGGGAGCGAACGGGAUUAGAUACCCCGGUAGUCCUGGCCGUAAACGAUGACCACCAGGUGUGGGAGGUAUCGACCCCUUCCGUGCCGUAGUUAACACAGUAAGUGGUCCGCCGUGGGGAGUACGGUCGCAAGAUUAAA
RNAcentral lists this ribosomal RNA (333 nucleotides) under uncultured bacterium. RNAcentral describes it as "bacterial SSU rRNA". It matches the Rfam family "Bacterial small subunit ribosomal RNA", at positions 568 to 898 of the family's 1533-position model. The record is from RNAcentral.